UACGGGGGGGGCAAGCGUUGUUCGGAAUUACUGGGCGUAAAGGGCGCGUAGGCGGCCACCUAAGUCAGACGUGAAAUCCCUCGGCUCAACCGGGGAACUGCGUCUGAUACUGGGCGGCUUGAAUUCGGGAGAGGGAUGCGGAAUUCCAGGUGUAGCGGUGAAAUGCGUAGAUAUCUGGAGGAACACCGGUGGCGAAGGCGGCAUCCUGGACCGAGAUUGACGCUGAGGCGCGAAAGCCAGGGGAGCAAACGGG
Molecule: ribosomal RNA, 253 nt
Filed under: uncultured bacterium
Lineage: Bacteria
Description: partial 16S ribosomal RNA
Rfam family: Bacterial small subunit ribosomal RNA
Source: RNAcentral